Molecule: ribosomal RNA, 459 nt
Filed under: uncultured bacterium
Lineage: Bacteria
Description: bacterial SSU rRNA
Rfam family: Bacterial small subunit ribosomal RNA
Source: RNAcentral
GAUGAACGUUGGCGGUGUGCCUAAUACAUGCAAGUCGAACGAAGACUGUAGCAAUACUGUCUUAGUGGCGAACGGGUGAGUAACGCGUUGGUGAUCUGCCUCGAAGUGUGGAAUAACCUCCCGAAAGGGAAGCUAAUACCGCAUGGUCUCUCAAGGUUUAGAAAAUUGAGAGUAAAGGAUUUAUUCGCUUCGAGAGGAGCCUGCGUCCCAUCAGCUCGUUGGUAGGGUAACGGCCUACCAAGGCUAUGACGGGUAGGGGACCUGAGAGGGUGGCCCCCCACAAUGGAACUGAAACACGGUCCAUACACCUACGGGUGGCAGCAGUAGGGAAUAUUAGAAAUGGGCGGAAGCCUGAUCUAGCAACACCGCGUGUGCGAUGAAGGCCUUCGGGUUGUAAAGCACUUUUUGGAGGGAAUAGGAAGGAAGGUACCUCCAGAAUAAGUCUCGGCUAACUACGUG